AGCGAACGCCGGCGGCAGGCCUAACACAUGCAAGUCGAACGGAUCCUUCGGGAUUAGUGGCGGACGGGUGAGUAACACGUGGGAACGUGCCCUUUGGUUCGGAACAACUCAGGGAAACUUGAGCUAAUACCGGAUGUGCCCUUCGGGGGAAAGAUUUAUCGCCAUUGGAGCGGCCCGCGUCUGAUUAGCUAGUUGGUGAGGUAACGGCCCACCAAGGCGACGAUCAGUAGCUGGUCUGAGAGGAUGAUCAGCCACACUGGGACUGAGACACGGCCCAGACUCCUACGGGAGGCAGCAGUGGGGAAUCUUGCGCAAUGGGCGAAAGCCUGACGCAGCCAUGCCGCGUGAAUGAUGAAGGUCUUAGGAUUGUAAAAUUCUUUCAGCGGGGACGAUAAUGACGGUACCCGCAGAAGAAGCUCCGGCUAACUUCGUG
Molecule: ribosomal RNA, 433 nt
Filed under: uncultured bacterium
Lineage: Bacteria
Description: partial 16S ribosomal RNA
Rfam family: Bacterial small subunit ribosomal RNA
Source: RNAcentral